Zea mays is the source of this 1202-nucleotide long non-coding RNA. RefSeq annotates it as serine/threonine-protein kinase OSR1. The record is from RefSeq and is a predicted model, not a curated record. Lineage: Eukaryota; Viridiplantae; Streptophyta; Magnoliopsida; Poales; Poaceae. The transcript is spliced from 6 exons.
UUCUUGCCGUGGUAUUGCUUCUAAAAUCUCUCACUAAAUCAGCCAGCUCUUCUGCUUGUCCUUAUUUUGUUUAAUAUUCCUUGAUUGUUAUGAUGAGUUGAGAAGGCCGACACUUGACGGAUGGUAAGCUUUUCCUCACAAGCUCUCAACGAAUAUAUUCGUUGUAAUUAGGCUAUGAUUUUGGUUGAUGAAUCAAUUCAGUAGUUCAGUGUAGAAUGCGUAUUUUGUUGUAGAAUGUGUAGUGCCUGUAAAUGUGCCUCUCCUCAACUUUGGUUUCUUGAGAAUUUUACUCUCAAGGCACUAUCAAAGGGAAUGUGGUAGGGGAAAGGAGAAAAGAUACUUAAUACGACCGUGCAAACUAAUAAUGACCAUUGUUAAGCAGUAUCUUGGUGCAAGUUGCCAUCUCCUUGAUCUUUUUUUUGUCCAGGAUUGGCUGAUGUGUUUCUUUCUUUGCUCGUUUGAACUGCAGCAGCUAUGGCGUGGUGGAGGUGGAGCUCGUCUUGCCUGACAGCCCCUUCGCAUCCCCCACCAAGGAGGAGGCCUCAUGCGCUGAUGCUGUCACCGCUGCAGCCGCUCGGAAUGGCAGCAGCAGCAGCCCUCGCCAUGUCCCAUGUGGCUUCACCGUCCCUUUUCGCACCCGCGUCUUCCACCACCCUCGACCUGCCCCCCUACAGCUCCUCCUGCUUCUUUCAGGUGCCCAGGUUUUCUCCUGGGCAUGAAGCCAUUGGGCUGUGAUGUGUGAGGUGCACGGAGCAAAAAAAGAGGGAGGGGACCUCCAUUCCUCUAAUCUGGGAGCUGGAAACAUACUGCUUGAUCAAGAUAAAGGAGUCAAACUAUCGGAUUUUGGAGUUACCGCCAGCCUUUAUGACUCAAUAAUCAAUAGACACGGCAAAAGGAAGACACUUGUUGGGACGCCUUGUUGGAUGGCCCCUAAAGUUAUGGAGCAAAAGGAUUACGAUUUCAAGGCAGAUAUUUGGUUGUUUGGCAUUACUGCACUUGAACUUGCUAUUGGCCAUGCACCAUUUUCUAUCCAACCUCCAGCAAAGGUUUUUCUCAUGACGUUGCAACAUGCCCCUCCAUAACUUCAUAACACAAAGGAGAAGAAGUUUUCAGACGUAUGGUUUCAAAAAUAUUUUCUAAGAAAUUAAUUGUGUGUGACUAUUGAAUCAUUUCUUGUCUUGUUUUGUAGUCUUUUAAGAGUC